GUGGGGAAUAUUGCGCAAUGGGCGAAAGCCUGACGCAGCGACGCCGUGUGAGGGAUGAAGGUCUUCGGAUCGUAAACCUCUGUCAGAAGGGAAGAACGGGUUUGGCUCUAAUCAGCUAGACAUUGACGGUACCUUCAAAGGAAGCACCGGCUAACUCCGUGCCAGCAGCCGCGGUAAUACGGAGGGUGCAAGCGUUAAUCGGAAUUACUGGGCGUAAAGCGCUCGUAGGCUGCGUAUCAAGUCAAGGGUGAAAUCCCCGGGCUCAACCCGGGAACUGCCUUUGAAACUGGUAUGCUUGAGUAUGUGAGAGGAUGGCGGAAUUCCAGGUGUAGGAGUGAAAUCCGUAGAUAUCUGGAAGAACAUCAGUGGCGAAGGCGGCCAUCUGGCACAUAACUGACGCUGAGGAGCGAAAGCGUGGGUAGCAAACAGGAUUAGAUACCCUGGUAGUCC
RNAcentral lists this ribosomal RNA (450 nucleotides) under uncultured bacterium. RNAcentral's name for it is "partial 16S ribosomal RNA". It matches the Rfam family "Bacterial small subunit ribosomal RNA", at positions 354 to 796 of the family's 1533-position model. The record is from RNAcentral.